AGUGAACGCUGGCGGUAGGCCUAACACAUGCAAGUCGAACGGCAGCACAGUAAGAGCUUGCUCUUACGGGUGGCGAGUGGCGGACGGGUGAGGAAUACAUCGGAAUCUACUUUUUCGUGGGGGAUAACGUAGGGAAACUUACGCUAAUACCGCAUACGACCUACGGGUGAAAGCAGGGGAUCUUCGGACCUUGCGCGAUUGAAUGAGCCGAUGUCGGAUUAGCUAGUUGGCGGGGUAAAGGCCCACCAAGGCGAGGAUCCGUAGCUGGUCUGAGAGGAUGAUCAGCCACACUGGAACUGGGACACGGUCCAGACUCCUACGGGAGGCAGCAGUGGGGAAUAUUGGACAAUGGGCGCAAGCCUGAUCCAGCCAUACCGCGUGGGUGAAGAAGGCCUUCGGGUUGUAAAGCCCUUUUGUUGGGAAAGAAAAGCAGCAGGUUAAUACCCCGCUGUUCUGACGGUACCCAAAGAAUAAGCACCGGCUAACUUCGUG
This 492-nucleotide ribosomal RNA is filed under the name uncultured bacterium. RNAcentral's name for it is "partial 16S ribosomal RNA". It matches the Rfam family "Bacterial small subunit ribosomal RNA", at positions 29 to 507 of the family's 1533-position model. The record is from RNAcentral.